RNAcentral lists this ribosomal RNA (301 nucleotides) under uncultured bacterium. RNAcentral's name for it is "partial 16S ribosomal RNA". It matches the Rfam family "Bacterial small subunit ribosomal RNA", at positions 512 to 808 of the family's 1533-position model. The record is from RNAcentral.
CAGUCGCCGGGUAAUACAGAGGGUGCAAGCGUUAAUCGGAAUUACUGGGCGUAAAGCGCGCGUAGGUGGUUCGCCAAGUUGGAUGUGAAAUCCCCGGGCUCAACCUGGGAACUGCAUCCAAAACUGGCGAGCUAGAGUAUGGUAGAGGGUGGUGGAAUUUCCUGUGUAGCGGUGAAAUGCGUAGAUAUAGGAAGGAACAUCAGUGGCGAAGGCGACCACCUGGACUGAUACUGACACUGAGGUGCGAAAGCGUGGGGAGCAAACAGGAUUAGAGACCCCUGUAGUCCCUGUCUCUUAUACC